UGGACGAAAGUCUGAUGGAGCAACGCCGCGUGAGUGAAGAAGGGUUUCGGCUCGUAAAACUCUGUUGUUAAAGAAGAACAUAUCUGAGAGUAACUGUUCAGGUAUUGACGGUAUUUAACCAGAAAGCCACGGCUAACUACGUGCCAGCAGCCGCGGUAAUACGUAGGUGGCAAGCGUUGUCCGGAUUUAUUGGGCGUAAAGCGAGCGCAGGCGGUUUUUUAAGUCUGAUGUGAAAGCCUUCGGCUCAACCGAAGAAGUGCAUCGGAAACUGGGAAACUUGAGUGCAGAAGAGGACAGUGGAACUCCAUGUGUAGCGGUGAAAUGCGUAGAUAUAUGGAAGAACACCAGUGGCGAAGCGGCUGUCUGGUCUGUAACUGACGCUGAGGCUCGAAAGUAUGGGUAGCAACAGGAUUAGAUACCCUGGUAGUCCAUACCGUAACGAUGAAUGCUAAGUGUUGGAGGGUUUCCGCCCUUCAGUGCUGCAGCUAACGCAUUAAGCAUUCCGCCUGGGGAGUACGGCCGCACGCUGAACUCAAAGGAUUGACGGGCCCGCACAGCGUGGAGCAUGUGGUUUAUCGAGCUACGCGAGACCUACAAGUCUUGACUACUAUGCAAUCUAGAGAUAGACGUCC
This 632-nucleotide ribosomal RNA is filed under the name Lactiplantibacillus plantarum. RNAcentral describes it as "bacterial SSU rRNA". It matches the Rfam family "Bacterial small subunit ribosomal RNA", at positions 372 to 1018 of the family's 1533-position model. Lineage: Bacteria; Bacillati; Bacillota; Bacilli; Lactobacillales; Lactobacillaceae. The record is from RNAcentral.